RNAcentral lists this transfer RNA (61 nucleotides) under Ictidomys tridecemlineatus (thirteen-lined ground squirrel). RNAcentral describes it as "Spermophilus tridecemlineatus (thirteen-lined ground squirrel) tRNA". It matches the Rfam family "tRNA", at positions 6 to 65 of the family's 71-position model. Rfam says of the family: Transfer RNA (tRNA) molecules are approximately 80 nucleotides in length. Their secondary structure includes four short double-helical elements and three loops (D, anti-codon, and T loops). The record is from Rfam by way of RNAcentral. Lineage: Eukaryota; Metazoa; Chordata; Mammalia; Rodentia; Sciuridae.
UGUGGCUCAGUGGUAAAGCGCUUGCCUAGCAUGUAUGAGGCACUGGGUUCAAUUCUCAGCA